This 65-nucleotide transfer RNA is filed under the name Sphenomorphus indicus. RNAcentral describes it as "tRNA-Lys". Lineage: Eukaryota; Metazoa; Chordata; Lepidosauria; Squamata; Scincidae. The record is from RNAcentral.
CACUAAGAAGCUUUUAUAGCACUAGCCUUUUAAGCUAGUGAGGGAGAAUUACACUCCCUUAGUGA